RNAcentral lists this ribosomal RNA (478 nucleotides) under uncultured bacterium. Its description in RNAcentral is "bacterial SSU rRNA". It matches the Rfam family "Bacterial small subunit ribosomal RNA", at positions 53 to 524 of the family's 1533-position model. The record is from RNAcentral.
ACAUGCAAGUCGAGGGGUAACGGAAGUAGCUUGCUACUAGACGACGACCGGCGCACGGGUGAGUAACGCGUAUGUAAUCUGCCUUGUACAGAGGGAUAGCCCAGAGAAAUUUGGAUUAAUACCUCAUAGUAUUACUGAAUCGCAUGAUUCGGUAAUUAAAGCUCCGGCGGUACAAGAUGAACAUGCGUGACAUUAGCUAGUUGGUAAGGUAACGGCUUACCAAGGCAACGAUGUCUAGGGGUUCUGAGAGGAUGAUCCCCCACACUGGUACUGAGACACGGACCAGACUCCUACGGGAGGCAGCAGUGAGGAAUAUUGGUCAAUGGACGCAAGUCUGAACCAGCCAUCCCGCGUGAAGGAUGACUGCCCUAUGGGUUGUAAACUUCUUUUAUAUGCAAAUAAACCUACUUUCGUGAAAGUAGCUGAAGGUAGCAUAUGAAUAAACACCGGCUAACUCCGUGCCAGCAGCCGCGGUAAU